Molecule: microRNA, 23 nt
Filed under: Rehmannia glutinosa
Lineage: Eukaryota; Viridiplantae; Streptophyta; Magnoliopsida; Lamiales; Orobanchaceae
Description: rgl-miR7811
Source: miRBase by way of RNAcentral
UGAAUGGAGAUACGGAAUGAAGC